This 330-nucleotide ribosomal RNA is filed under the name uncultured bacterium. Its description in RNAcentral is "bacterial SSU rRNA". It matches the Rfam family "Bacterial small subunit ribosomal RNA", at positions 28 to 359 of the family's 1533-position model. The record is from RNAcentral.
GAUGAACGCUAGCGGCAGGCCUAACACAUGCAAGUCGAGGGGCAGCACGUCUUCGGAUGGUGGCGACCGGCGCACGGGUGCGUAACGCGUAUGCAACCUACCUCUUACAGUGGGAUAGCCCAGAGAAAUUUGGAUUAAUACCGCAUAGUAUACAGAUUCAGCAUUGGGACUGUAUUAAACAUUUAUGGGUAAGAGAUGGGGCAUGCGUUCUAUUAGUUAGUUGGAGUGGUAACGGCACCCCAAGACAGCGAUAGAUAGGGGCCCUGAGAGGGGGAUCCCCCANACUGGUACUGAGACACGGACCAGACUCCUACGGGAGCAGCAGUGAGG